GACGAACGCUGGCGGCGUGCCUAAUACAUGCAAGUUGAGCGCUGAAGGUUGGUACUUGUACCAACUGGAUGAGCAGCGAACGGGUGAGUAACGCGUGGGGAAUCUGCCUUUGAGCGGGGGACAACAUUUGGAAACGAAUGCUAAUACCGCAUAAAAACUUUAAACACAAGUUUUAAGUUUGAAAGAUGCAAUUGCAUCACUCAAAGAUGAUCCCGCGUUGUAUUAGCUAGUUGGUGAGGUAAAGGCUCACCAAGGCGAUGAUACAUAGCCGACCUGAGAGGGUGAUCGGCCACAUUGGGACUGAGACACGGCCCAAACUCCUACGGGAGGCAGCAGUAGGGAAUCUUCGGCAAUGGACGAAAGUCUGACCGAGCAACGCCGCGUGAGUGAAGAAGGUUUUCGGAUCGUAAAACUCUGUUGGUAGAGAAGAACGUUGGUGAGAGUGGAAAGCUCAUCAAGUGACGGUAACUACCCAGAAAAGGACGGCUAACUACGUG
Molecule: ribosomal RNA, 497 nt
Filed under: uncultured bacterium
Lineage: Bacteria
Description: partial 16S ribosomal RNA
Rfam family: Bacterial small subunit ribosomal RNA
Source: RNAcentral